Molecule: ribosomal RNA, 253 nt
Filed under: uncultured bacterium
Lineage: Bacteria
Description: partial 16S ribosomal RNA
Rfam family: Bacterial small subunit ribosomal RNA
Source: RNAcentral
UACGUAGGGUGCAAGCGUUAAUCGGAAUUACUGGGCGUAAAGCGUGCGCAGGCGGCUUUGCAAGACAGAUGUGAAAUCCCCGGGCUCAACCUGGGAAUUGCAUUCAAAACUGGCUAACUAGAGUAUGUGAGAGGGGGGUAGAAUUCCAAGUGUAGCGGUGAAAUGCGUAGAUAUGCGGAGGAACACCGAUGGCGAAGGCAAUCCCCUGGGCCUGCACUGACGCUCAUGCACGAAAGCGUGGGGAGCAAACAGG